GAUGAACGCUGGCGGCGUGCCUAAUACAUGCAAGUCGAGCGAACAGAUGAUGCGCUUGCUGCUCUCACGUUAGCCGCGCACGGGUGAGUCACACGUGUAUAACCUACCUAUAAGACUGGGAUAACUUCGGGACACCGGCGCUAAUACCGGAUAAUAUAUUGAACCGCAUUGUUCAAUAGUGAAAGACGGUUUUGCUGUCACUUCUAGAUGGAUCCGCGCCGCAUUAGCUAGUUGGUAAGGUAACGGCUUACCACGGCAACGAUGCGUAGACGACCUGAGAGACGGAUAGGCCACACGGGAACGGAGCCGCGGUCCAGGCUCCUGAGGGAGGCAGCAGUAGGCAAUGUGACGCAGUGGGCGAGAGCCUUGCAGAGCAACGCCGCGUGAGAGAUGAAGGUCUUCGGAGCGUAAAACUCUGUUAUGAGGGAAGAACAAAUGUGUAAGGAACUAUGCACGGCUUGACGGUAACUAAUCAGAAAGCCACGGCUAACUACGUG
RNAcentral lists this ribosomal RNA (497 nucleotides) under uncultured bacterium. Its description in RNAcentral is "partial 16S ribosomal RNA". It matches the Rfam family "Bacterial small subunit ribosomal RNA", at positions 28 to 507 of the family's 1533-position model. The record is from RNAcentral.